AAAUAGAUCAGUGCCAACGAGAGGGGAUGGGGAUCAGACGAUAAGGACGCCUGAUCCACACCCUUAAUGGAUGGUUUAAAGUGGAGAGGGAAUUGAAACAUGGGAAGAAAAAAGAUUAAUGAUCUUCCACUUGUAGAUCCAUCAUAAAUUAUACAUACACCCGGAGCUAAUCCGCCGCUCGCUGCGCAUGGAUCUCCGACCUCUCUCCGCCCCCGGCCGGUCGCCCAACGACGCCACCACUCGAACCGGAACCGCCGACCUCCAGUCGUGCGGAUUGACGGGCCUCCGCGCCGCCGCGGGCCGCGGAUCUCCGCCCACGGACGUCACCGUUCCGCGCCUGGGCGACCUCGUCUUCAACUUCCCGUCUUCCCGUAGGGCCACAUUGAGCAGCUCUGUUCAUGUGUGAUUCUUCAAUCCAUGGACGAAGAUUUUUGGCGAUCCUGGCCGAUGCUAUUUUCUAGCCGAUUCAAUCCAUGGCCGAUCCAAUUGAUGGUAAUGCAAAAGCCACACUUAUCUUAUUGACAUGUUACUGGAAUUCUCAUGGAGCUCGAAAGAUUAAUGUUCUGUAAAAUGAGACUGGGAAAGCUUAAAAAUAAUGACAACUACCUGUCGUCAUCACUGUUCAUGGCUGAAUCUGAAUGAAAUAUAUGAUGAAUUUCUGAAUCCAGCUAUCAAACAUGUGGUAAUAGUUUCAGAAUAUAGCAAAAUGUCUAACCUGUACAUGUGUUUGGGUCAAUUACAAGUGUUUCACCACUCACCAAGGCUUUCAUAUCCCACCACACAAAGAUGAAGACGGCAUUCAUUGCUUCGUGCAGAGAGAGAUGUUGUUAGGAGGCAUACAUACACAGGUUAUGGCGAGUAAAAUCACAAUAACUAUCAAUGAAUUUCUAUUUUGAUUCAAAGGCACAUCACCUAAUUGGUUGCUCCGAUUCUUAGAGCAUUAAGAUGUUUUAAGAAGGUUCCAGUAAUAGGGCACAACCCUCACAGUUAUCCUGUCUCAUUUGUUUACUGAGAUGAUAUAAGUUUUUUACUGGUAUACAAAGGGAUAAAUUUUGGGUAAACUUUGCACACUGCAAAAUAAUUGAUGCUAAUCUGACACUUGUUUACUCGCCAAUUUUGUUCUACUGACACUAUUCUUGAAUUAUCAUGGAUGCAAGGGAACUGCUUGUUCAAAAUUCAUAAUCCUAGCUUCAAAACCGUUCAAACUCACUCAAUAAUUCUGGAGUUUGAUUGUAAAAAAAAUACUCUGAUUUCCGUUUUCCUAUUAAGUAAAGGUUUUUAUUUCCAGACUGGACUAUGUGACAUGUCAGUAAUAUAUAGUGAAAAAGUUCAACUCUUGAAGCUUAGUGUUUGGCAUUUGAUUCUGCGCCUUAGGGAGUAUGUAGUUUGUUUAUUAGCAUCCAGAUGAAGUCAUCUUACAUGAGCUACACUAAAUUUACAUGAUAGACUGGUGUUAUCCUUAUAUUUGUUUUUGUAGAAAAGACUAAAAGGAGGGAUGACUUUUGACAUCGAAACUUUGGCUGUUAUGCUAGGUCAUCUACUGUUCCAUAAGACUUGUUAUUUUUCAUUUUGAACAUUUCAGCCUUAUUGUUGCAGGCUUGACUGGUGUUAUCGUGGAGGGCUGAGUCGUGCAACAAACAAGAGCAUCUUCCAAGCUAAUAACUGGGUGGAUCAUGAGCGCACCACCACAAAGCUGAUUCUUCACCUUCACUUACUGAAUCCCUUCCAUUUGGUUGUGUUCCUAUAUGGCUGCUUUUUGAUGGAGUGAGGCGUGAGCGUAUAACUUCUCUUGUUUGUGUGAAAAGGAAAAGGAUAUAUACGUUUGCCUUUAUUAUUGAUCAGCGUACAACAUGCUCCGCUUAUCAUUUUGCGCCCACCCUAGAUUGUUUUCAAUGCUUGAUGUAGUCUAAUAACAUUUGUAAAACAUAUAGUAGGAUUUCAUGAUUUUUUUUCCUAUGCUC
Molecule: RNA transcript, 1961 nt
Organism: Panicum hallii
Lineage: Eukaryota; Viridiplantae; Streptophyta; Magnoliopsida; Poales; Poaceae
Exons: 5
Source: RefSeq, a predicted model, not a curated record